Molecule: small RNA, 1059 nt
Filed under: Pan troglodytes (chimpanzee)
Lineage: Eukaryota; Metazoa; Chordata; Mammalia; Primates; Hominidae
Description: processed transcript
Source: RNAcentral
CCCUAGGGAAGGCGCAGCGGGGCGGACUCCCGGGCCUCCUCCCGCCUCUUCCACAGGUUGCAUCCGCGGCUGCAGGAAAACGGAUGGCUGGGAAUGGCCGUCGGGGGUUGGUCAGAGGAAGUCCCUCGGCCCUUUCCGAGGCACAUCUCUUGGCCAUCCACGCGUCCUUCGCAGACUCCGCUCCCUGCACCUCCGUUUCCUCUUCUGUGGCCGGCGGCUCCCCCGUGGCCACCCCAUCUCCCAUCUCUGCCACCUCCCAACAGCCAUUUCCACUCCUGCGGCCCCAUCCCAGCUAAGGAGAGCGCCCUUCUGAUUGGCAGGUGGGCCUGUCUGUCACGGGCAUGUUCCAUCCCACCCAAGCCCAAGGACACUCCAGGGUUUCCUUAGUUUCACAACCAAGGUGCGUGCUCAGCGGACUCUGCAGACCCAGUGCCGCGACUUCCCCUAAAGCCAGGCGUGUAUCUGCGCGUGUGAGGUGCUCUGCCGCAACCCUAUGCAGAGAGCAGGGUCUCACUCUGUUACCCAGGCUGGAGUGCAGUGGAGUGAUUAUAGCUUACUGCAGCCUUGACCUUCUGGGCUCAAGAGAUCCUCCCACCAUCACGAGGUCAGGAGAUCGAGACCAUCUUGGCUAAGAAGAGACUGUGUCUCACUGUGUUGCCCAGGCUGGCUUCACUCAAGCGAUCCUCUCGCCGCAGUCCCUGGAGUAGCUAGGAUUACAGGCACCCGCCACCACUCUCGGCCCCAUUUCUCUUAUUAAAAAAAAAAAAAAAAAAAUUGCCAUGAAAUACGCAUAUCGAAAUGUACCAUCUUCACCAUUUUUAAGGGUAAGAUUAGGUGGUGUUAGGUAUGUUCACUUGUCGUGCAACCAGAUUGCUGUUUUAAAUAACAGCACUUAGAGAUGCCGACUUCGUGCCAGGCCCAGUUUGGGACAUUAGAGACUCCCAGAUGAAUCAGCCGCUCCAGUGGAACUCCCUGCUGGUGGGGGAGGCACUGGCGAAGCGGUGCUGAGCGAGCGGAGUCCUGACGGCGCUGGAGCUGAGGGGCAGUGCGGGAUGCCCC